Molecule: ribosomal RNA, 498 nt
Filed under: uncultured bacterium
Lineage: Bacteria
Description: partial 16S ribosomal RNA
Rfam family: Bacterial small subunit ribosomal RNA
Source: RNAcentral
AUUGAACGCUGGCGGCAUGCCUUACACAUGCAAGUCGAACGGUAACAGGUCUUCGGAUGCUGACGAGUGGCGAACGGGUGAGUAAUACAUCGGAACGUGCCUAGUAGUGGGGGAUAACUACUCGAAAGAGAGGCUAAUACCGCAUGAGAUCUACGGAUGAAAACAGGGGAUCGCAAGACCUUGUGCUACUAGAAGUGCCGAUGGCAGAUUAGGUAGUUGGUGGGAUAAAAGCUUACCAAGCCGACGAUCUGUAGCUGGUCUGAGAGGACGAUCAGCCACACUGGGACUGAGAAACGGCCCAGACUCCUACGGGAGGCAGCAGUGGGGAAUUUUGGACAAUGGGCGCAAGCCUGAUCCAGCAAUGCCGCGUGCAGGAUGAAGGCCUUCAGGUUGUAAACUGCUUUUGUACGGAACGAAAAGCCCCGGGUUAAUACCCUGGGGUCAUGACGGUACCGUAAGAAUAAGCACCGGCUAACUACGUGCCAGCCGCCGCAGUAA